AACGAACGCUGGCGGCAUGCCUAACAAAUGCAAGUCGAACGAAGCCUUCGGGCUUAGUGGCGCACGGGUGCGUAACGCGUGGGAAUCUGCCCUUAGGUUCGGAAUAACUCAGGGAAACUUGAGCUAAUACCGCAUAAUGACUCCGGUCCAAAGAUUUAUCGCCUAAGGAUGAGCCCGCGUCGGAUUAGCUAGUUGGUGAGGUAAAAGCUCACCAAGUCGACGAUCCGUAGCUGGUCUGAGAGGAUGAUCAGCCACACUGGAACUGAGACACGGCCCAGACUCCUACGGGAGGCAGCAGUGAGGAAUAUUGGACAAUGGGCGAAAGCCUGAUCCAGCAAUGCCGCGUGAGUGAUGAAGGCCUUAGGGUUGUAAAGCUCGUUUACCCGGGAUGAUAAUGACAGUACCGGGAGAAUAAGCCCCGGCUAACUCCGUGCCAGCAGCCGCAGUAA
Molecule: ribosomal RNA, 449 nt
Filed under: uncultured bacterium
Lineage: Bacteria
Description: partial 16S ribosomal RNA
Rfam family: Bacterial small subunit ribosomal RNA
Source: RNAcentral